UACGGAUUCGACAGGGGUAGUUCGAGCUUAGGUUGCGAGUCGAGGGGAUCGGCCUCGUUAAAACGUCAAAGCCUAUAACUGGCAAACAACAAAACAAUUUCGCUUUAGCUGCUUAAUAAGCGCUUAGCGGUUCGCCCCUCCAUUACCCGUGUGGUAGGGUAGCGGACUCAACUUUAGCGGGUUACGCCGGAUUCCACCGUCUGAGGAAGAAGGAAGAGAACAACCAGACUAGCGGCUUUAACGCCUGUCGAUAGGCAGAAAAGCUUAGCGAAACGCGAAUAUAUCGACUACACUCGUAGAAGCUUAAGUGCCGUUAUCUUUGGACGUGGGUUCGAUUA
Molecule: transfer-messenger RNA, 338 nt
Filed under: Bacillaceae bacterium SAS-127
Lineage: Bacteria; Bacillati; Bacillota; Bacilli; Caryophanales; Bacillaceae
Rfam family: transfer-messenger RNA
About the family: Bacterial tmRNA, also known as 10Sa RNA or SsrA, is named for its dual tRNA and mRNA-like properties. Its role is to liberate the mRNA from a stalled ribosome.
Source: Rfam by way of RNAcentral